AGUUCGAUUCUGGCUCCAGAUUGAACGCUGGCGGGAUGCUUUACAUGCAAGUCGGACGGCAGCACGGACUUCGGUCUGGUGGCAGUGGCGAACGGGUAGAGUAAUGUAUCGGAACGUGCCUAGUAGCGGGGAUGACUACGCGAAAGCGUAGCUAAUACCGCAUACACCCUUCGAGAGGCGGACCUUCGGGCCUCGCACUAAUGGAAACAGCCAUUAUCGGAUCAGCUAGUUGGUGGGGUAACGACUCGCAAGGCGACGAUCGUAGCUGGUUUGAAGAGGACGAUGACCACACUGGGACUGAGACACGGCUUGAACUCCACCACGAGGCAGCAGUGAGGAAUUUUUGGACAAUGGGGAAGCCCUGAUCCAGCCAUCGCGUGUGCGAUGAAGGCCUUCCGGGUUGUAAACACUUUUGGCAGGAAAAAACGGCGCAGUUAAUGCCCCGAUACAGCUGACAGUACCUGCAGAAUAAGUACCGGCUAACUACGUGCCAGCAGCCGCGGUAGUACGUAAGUGCAAGCGUUAAUCGGAAUUACUGGGCAGAGGCGUGCAGGCGGUUCGGAAAAGAAAGAUGUGAAAUCCCAGAGCUUAACUUUGGAACUGCAUUUUUAACUACCGAGCUAGAGUGUCAGAGAGGUGGAAUUCCGCGUGUAGCAGUGGAAGUGGUAGGACGUAUGCGAGACACCAUUGGCGGAAGGCGGCCUCCUGGGAUAACAACGCUCAUGCACGAAAGCGUGGGGAGCAAGCAGGAUUAAGAUACCUGGUAGUCCGCCUAAACGCGUGUCAAUAGCUGUUGGGGCCUUCGGGCCUUGGUAGCGCAACAACGCGUGAAGUUGACCGCCUGGAAGUACGGUCGCAAGAUUAAAACUCAAAGGAAUUGACGGGGACCCGCACAAGCGAUGGAUGAUGUGGUUAAUUCGGUUUGACACGAAAACCUUACCUACCCUUGACAUGUCUGGAAUCCCGAAGAGAUUUGGGAGUGCUCGCAAGAGAACCGGAACACAGGUGCUGCGUGGCUGUCGUCAGCUCGUGUCGUGAGAUGUUGGGUUAAGUCCGCAACGAGCGCAACCCUUGUCAUUAGUUGCUACGAAGAGGCACUCUAAUGAGACUGCCGGUGACAAACCGGAGGAAGGUGGGGAUGACGUCAAGUCCUCAUGGCCCUUAUGGGUAGGGCUUCACACGUCAUACAAUGGUCGGGACAGAGGGUCGCCAACCCGCGAGAGGGCUGCCGUCAGGGAAACCCGAUCGUAGUCGGAUCGCAGUCUGCAACUCGACUGCGUGAAGUCGGAAUCACUAGUAAUCGCGGAUAUGUCGCGGUGAAUACGUUCCCGGGUCGCAUACCCGCACCGCCCGGAAAAUAACACCAUGGGAGUGGGUUUUACCAGAAGUAGUUAGCCUAACCGUAAGGAGGGCGAUUCACGAAAGUAGGAUUCAUGACUGGGGUGAAGUCGUAACAAGGU
Molecule: ribosomal RNA, 1460 nt
Filed under: uncultured Bordetella sp.
Lineage: Bacteria; Pseudomonadati; Pseudomonadota; Betaproteobacteria; Burkholderiales; Alcaligenaceae
Description: partial 16S-23S ribosomal RNA intergenic spacer
Rfam family: Bacterial small subunit ribosomal RNA
Source: RNAcentral